Molecule: ribosomal RNA, 250 nt
Filed under: uncultured bacterium
Lineage: Bacteria
Description: partial 16S ribosomal RNA
Rfam family: Bacterial small subunit ribosomal RNA
Source: RNAcentral
GAUCAUGGCUCAGGAUGAACGCUAGCGGCAGGCUUAACACAUGCAAGUCGAGGGGCAGCGCAGGGCGGCAACGUCCUGGCGGCGACCGGCGGAAGGGUGCGUAACGCGUGAGCGACAUGCCCGUUGCCCGGGGACAACCGGUGGAAACGCCGACUAAUCCCCGAUGGGACGGAGGCCCUCAUGGGUCUCUGUUGAAAGUUACGGCGGCGACAGAUUGGCUCGCGUCCGAUUAGCUAGUUGGCGGGUAACG